CCUUAACACUUAUGAGUGUUAAAGCGUAUUGAGACGGGAAGGGUUUUGGAGGAAUUCGAGCUAGAUUGGAGGGCUGGUUACAUCUGGAGAGGGGAUUCAGGGCGACCAAGUGAGUGCAUUGAGAAGUACCUGAUGCGCUCGAAGGCGCUGCGGUUCUCUUUCAAGGUCCACUGGUCCUCAGCGCCCGAAGCAUAGUAGUCAUAGACCAUCUUCGGCAGCUUCUGCCUUGCGAGCUCCUCAUACUCGGUCACGUUGGUAACCUCGGCAAUCGACAUGGUGGAAGUCGUGAGAAAUUCGCCGGCUGUAUCCCUAGUGUGAUGCAGCCUUUCAACG
Molecule: long non-coding RNA, 333 nt
Filed under: Physcomitrium patens
Lineage: Eukaryota; Viridiplantae; Streptophyta; Bryopsida; Funariales; Funariaceae
Description: long non-coding RNA (PPAT_LNC011057)
Source: RNAcentral